GAAAGCGUUGCCGCAGGCAACGACCCGAAGGGCGAAGCGCGCAGCGCUGAGUAAUCCUUCCCCCACCACCA
Molecule: small RNA, 71 nt
Filed under: Salmonella enterica
Lineage: Bacteria; Pseudomonadati; Pseudomonadota; Gammaproteobacteria; Enterobacterales; Enterobacteriaceae
Also listed under: 8 other names
Description: partial RtT sRNA
Rfam family: RtT RNA
About the family: This family represents a bacterial cis-regulatory element known as RtT RNA. The exact function of RtT is unknown although it is thought that it may be involved in changing the cellular response in relation to amino acid starvation.
Source: RNAcentral